This 253-nucleotide ribosomal RNA is filed under the name uncultured bacterium. RNAcentral's name for it is "partial 16S ribosomal RNA". It matches the Rfam family "Bacterial small subunit ribosomal RNA", at positions 524 to 776 of the family's 1533-position model. The record is from RNAcentral.
UACAGAGGGUGCAAGCGUUAAUCGGAUUUACUGGGCGUAAAGCGUGCGUAGGUGGUGAUGUAAGUCGGAUGUGAAAGCCCUGGGCUUAACCUGGGAACUGCAUUCGAUACUGCAUUACUAGAGUUCGGUAGAGGGCGGCGGAAUUCCGGGUGUAGCGGUGAAAUGCGUAGAUAUCCGGAGGAACACCGAUGGCGAAGGCAACCGCCUGGGCCUGAACUGACACUGAGGCACGAAAGCGUGGGGAGCGAACAAG